Hyla sarda is the source of this 1000-nucleotide long non-coding RNA. RefSeq lists it as uncharacterized. The transcript has 4 exons. Lineage: Eukaryota; Metazoa; Chordata; Amphibia; Anura; Hylidae. The record is from RefSeq and is a predicted model, not a curated record.
CUCCCCCACUGUGUAUCAGUAUACGACCAUCAUUACAGUCUUUAUUCAGUACUUAGGCAACACUAUGUAGUGUUACCUCACUAGGAAGAUUUGUCAACUUACGACUGCAAGUCGUGACCUGACAAGGAUCAGAAUAUACUGACAUCGCGAGGAGCCAUCUGGGCGUCAAGUUCUCUAGAGAGAAGAUUUAGCUGGAUUUAGUGUUAUAUACCAUCUAAAUUAGAUAAGAAAAGAGAGAAAUGUCUUGAAAACUCAUCAGUAUUUAAAAAAAGAAAGAAAAAAAAAAGAGGCUUUGUCAGGCAUGGAAUCGGCCAUGGAGGCAGAUAUUUAGCAUCUCUUCGACUUAAAGGAACGGGAACACCGAAUAUCGAGGUGCACUAAUUGCCCAACAUGUUACCCGGUGAGGGGACACGGCUGAUAGCAUCGGAGUGGCUGGGACUGCAGCUGUCCAGGAUGAAUUCAUGUCCUACGAAUGGUGGAGGAGAAACAUGAUCCUGCCGGUCAGUUGGUCACACAUGACAAGCAUCAUCAUCAAUUACUUCUUAAACAAACUAACAAGGAUACUUAAGAAAAGGAAAACAUUGCUAACAAAUGAUGUACCAGCUGACAUGGAGCCUGCUCAAAGGAAGGCCAGGAUUCCAAUCACUUCAUCCAUCUAUGGAUUGACAGAUGGGUUCAUGGUUCAUCAUUGCCUUGAAGAUGAGCUUAUCUUGGGUUAUCGCAAUGCAUUUCAUCUUCAAGAUAUUCAAUUUCUUGGAUUCUUUUAAGCAAAGUCCAUCUAUGCAUGGCAAUAUACUGUAUUAUGUGUUUUUUAUUUAUUUAUAAUAUUCCAAGACGGUUUCCCAACUCCAUGGGCGUAACAAUAGCUAUAGCAUCCAUAACAGCAGCUAUGGAGAGAGUCUACUGGGGUCCAGAAAUGUUACCUAUUGUCUAGCUCCUCUAUGUGGGUCCUAUGUUUUACAGAAAAUCUUAUAUUUAAAGGGGUAUUCCAGUGAAUUUU